AUGGAGAAGAGCGGGGGGAGGGAGGUGGAUCCGUUUGCCUUUGACUGGAGAUGCUGGCAGACUGCAUUUUCAGCACUGUGCUUCUUCCAGAGACCAGCGCUCCCAAAUGUCAGCCCGGUCCGCUGCAGAGGGGGCGACUGUGUAAAAAUGCACUCACAAGGCAGCGAAGCCUUGGACUUCCCUGAUCACAGAAUGGAUAAGAAUCUGCCCGCCAGUGCAGGGCACAUGGGUUCGAUCCCUGGUCCGGGAAGAUCCCUCAGGCCACGGAGCGAUAACCACCGAGGCCUGCGUGCCCUACAGCCUGCGCUCACAACAAGGGGCGCCACGAUGGUGAGAGGCCGAGCUCGGCGACAGGAGAGCAGCCCCGCUCACUGCAACUGUAGAAGAGCCGCACACAGCAACAAGGCCCACGAGACCAAAAGCCUGGGGACGUUUCCAGAUAAAGAGAGGACACAGGCAAAAACGGCACAUUCCUCCCUGUAUCUAACAGAGCUCAAUUUGGAACUGGCAGUCAGAGGGAUGGGAGGCGGUUGGAGAGAGGAGCUGCUGCUGCUGCGGCCGGCGUUUUCCUGCAGGUGGGCGCACUCUGCCAGAACUGCCUUCGCAGGAAGCAGAGAGGAACAUCUUUGGUGACCGUGCAGCGUCCCUCAGCCAGCGCUUGUAAACCGGCCUCCCCGACCUCUGACGACAAGGGAAAUCAGACGCUGGCCCUGCCGAGGGGUAACUUACGUGACUCUUUCGUGUGGAAUUCCAAUCCCACCCCCAGGAGCUGCUUUUCCAUUUCACUGCUGCCCUCUCCUCAUCACCCUGACCUGCCUCUGCACUCCCCAGCCAAUUGACUUUUAUCUUCACGGAAGGAGGGCAUUGCCUGCCUCUUCCAGUUCUGCUCUGGGCAGGAUUUCUCUUGAAGGCUCUUCUGAGAUGUGAUGGCUGCUUCUGCGACGAGAGGCGGCUCUGCAGCUCCAGCUUGCUUCUGAAGUAGGAGUGUCAUGCACACCUGAGAGAUCCCAGAGGUCACUGAUUCUUGGUUUCUCUUCCCAAUCUGAGUUAUCAUCAGGCAUUUCAAAGGUGCUAUGCACAGAGCUAUGUGUCCCAAAAACGGGUUUCUUGGAGCCAUAAUCCCCAGUGGGACAGUAUUUGGAAGUGAAGCCUUUGGGAGGUGAUUGGAUUUAGAGGAGGCCAUGAGGGUGGGGCCCCCGUGAUGGGACUGGUGCCCGUAAGAAGACUCUCUAGAGAGCUUGCUCUCCCUGGCCCUGCCCGGCAACCAUGUGAGCACACAGAAGCAAGCCAUUCGCAAGUGGGGAGGAGAGCUCUAACUAGAGCUCAGCCAUGCUGCACCCCGAUCUCGGACUUGCAGCCUCCAGAACUAUGAGAAACAAAUGUCUGUUGCCUGAGCCACCCAGUCAGUAGUAAUUUGUUAGAGCAGCCUGAGCAGACUAAGACAGAAUAUUAAAAAACAAACAAACAAAAAAAAAAAACUUCAGUUCAAAAUGCAGUUGGAGUAACGGACAUCUGUGUGUUCUGCCCCAGGAUGAAGGACCACUCCAUCAUUUCCUCACUGAUACCUUGGCAGGCGUCUUCGUUUCUCUGGACCUCAGUUUCCUCAUCUGUGAAGCACAAAUGGGUUCCCCUGCCUCUGCUAUUCCCCCACCCCAGACGGUUGUAAUCAGAAAUCAGGAAACAGGACUCAAACACACCUAACACAGUCUUGAGCACUGAGUAAAGUGAAGUCACUCAGUCGUGUCCGACUCUUUGUGAUCCCAUGGACUGUAGCCUAGCAGGCUCCUCCCUCCAUGGGAUUCUCCAGGCAAGAGUACUGGAGUGGGUUGCCAUUUCCUUCUCCAGGGGAUCUUCCCUACCCAGGGAUCGAACCCGGGUCUCCCGCAUUGGAGGCAGACGCUUUAACCUCUGAGCCACCAGGAAAGCCCUUGAGCACUGAGUAAACCCUCAAUAAACACAGUUGAGAUUCCCAAGGAGCUGGAAAACAAGUCUGUCCUGACAAAGAAUACAAUAAGAAGCAGCACCUUAAGCAAAAUAGAUGAAUAAAUAACAUCCUUAGUGGCCAUCAGGGUCCCAAGCACCUGGAGAUGGCGAGGAGACUGACUGGCCAUCUCCGGCAGCCCAUCUCUCCUCCGAAGGUCAGCCUGGGCUCCUUACCACACAAUGGGCUGAGACAAACGGCAGGACCCAAACCUGCUGAUGAAGCUGAUGAUCCGGCUCCCUGACGUCCAAGCAUGAGCUCAUCC
Long non-coding RNA from Capra hircus (goat), 2246 nucleotides. NCBI's taxonomy places the organism in Eukaryota, Metazoa, Chordata, Mammalia, Artiodactyla, Bovidae. The record is from Ensembl.